RNAcentral lists this microRNA (20 nucleotides) under Suid alphaherpesvirus 1. Its description in RNAcentral is "prv-miR-LLT7-3p". Its record names the gene prv-miR-LLT7-3p. Lineage: Duplodnaviria; Heunggongvirae; Peploviricota; Herviviricetes; Herpesvirales; Orthoherpesviridae. The record is from miRBase by way of RNAcentral.
ACCACCGUCCCCCUGUCCCU